Molecule: ribosomal RNA, 289 nt
Filed under: uncultured Actinomycetes bacterium
Lineage: Bacteria; Bacillati; Actinomycetota; Actinomycetes
Description: uncultured actinobacterium partial 16S ribosomal RNA
Source: RNAcentral
CUACACGGGUAUCUAAUCCUGUUUGCUCCCCACGCUUUCGCUCCUCAGCGUCAGUACUGGCCCAGGAUCCCGCCUUCGCCACCGGUGUUCCUCCUGAUAUCUGCGCAUUCCACCGCUACACCAGGAAUUCCAGAUCCCCCUACCAGACUCUAGCCGCCCAGUAUCGAAUGCAGGCUCGAGGUUAAGCCUCGAGGUUUCACAUUCGACUUGAGUGGCCGCCUACGAGCUCUUUACGCCCAAUGAAUCCGGACAACGCUCGGUCCCUACGUAUUACCGCGGCUGCUGGCAC